UAGACACACACACACACACACACACACAAUGGCACAUACAAGCAAUGCACCCCGGCGUUGCCAGGGUGUUAUGACCUACAGCCACAUUGUAUUAUUUGUUCUUUUCUGAUGAGCAGAAUCAGCACACAAGGAGUAUGAAGCAAACAACUCUUCUUUAUAAACAUGUUUUUCGGUAAUUUUCUGAUGAAUAACGCUGCAGUUUCCGUCU
Octopus sinensis (East Asian common octopus) is the source of this 208-nucleotide long non-coding RNA. RefSeq lists it as uncharacterized. The transcript has 3 exons. Lineage: Eukaryota; Metazoa; Mollusca; Cephalopoda; Octopoda; Octopodidae. The record is from RefSeq and is a predicted model, not a curated record.